CUCUCUCUCUCUCUCCGGCCGAUGGAGCGGGGCUAGCGACUGGCGAGGCGAGCGACGGCCGGUGCAGCGGCGCGACCUGGCGACCGGGCCGAGGCGACGGCGGCGCGAGCCGUGGCGACGACGGUCGGGCGCCGGUCGGCCCAGCGCGGCAGCGGCCUGAGGGCGGCCAGGCGGCGUCAGGCGAAUGGGGGAGAAGGCCGGCGCGGUGAGGAGGGAGCUUGGCGGCAGGGGGAAGGACGGCUGCCGCUAGCGGCGCUCGGAGCGGGCGGCGUCGGCGCAGCCGUGCUCGGCUAGGCGGCGUCUGGGCGGCAGCUUGCCUUGCCUGAAGAACAAAUUCAAAGACAACUCACUAGAACUGUUGUAUUGAUUUGCUACAAGAACCUGCAUGUUUUGAGUUUCUGCAGGAAUUCUGGAGGUUCAAUUCCUGCAAUGCUGAAACUCCUCAAGAUUCAGUUC
Molecule: small RNA, 456 nt
Filed under: Oryza sativa Japonica Group (Japanese rice)
Lineage: Eukaryota; Viridiplantae; Streptophyta; Magnoliopsida; Poales; Poaceae
Description: sRNA Os02g0590850
Source: RNAcentral